This 360-nucleotide ribosomal RNA is filed under the name Triticum aestivum (bread wheat). RNAcentral's name for it is "partial small subunit ribosomal RNA". The record is from RNAcentral. Lineage: Eukaryota; Viridiplantae; Streptophyta; Magnoliopsida; Poales; Poaceae.
UCUAUCCUUCUCAAUUUCUCCCUCGCCACGGGUCUCCACAUCAAUUUUGCUAAAAGCACUUUUGCUCCAAUCCAUGUUGACCCUUCUGUGGCCGCUCGCAUGGCAAGUAUGUUGGGUUGCUCGGUCGCUACUUUCCCGCAAAACUAUCUUGGUCUCCCUUUGUCUACCCACAAACUUCGUCUAAUAGAUUUCCACCCGUUAAUUGCUAAGGUUGACAAAAGGUUAGCUGGUUGGCGAGGACACCUUCUCUCUGCAGCCGGUAGGGCAGUUCUUGUCAACUCUGUAAUUCGAGCUCUUCCCACCUAUGCUAUGAGCGUUAUGCUGCUUCCUGUUGGUUCUAUUCAGGCGAUGACCACGUGA